UCAAACUUUUAUCUGUGACUUUGAUAAAAAUGAAAUUUUCAUCAAAGUCACUAAUAAAAGUUAUC
This 65-nucleotide microRNA precursor is filed under the name Hydra vulgaris (swiftwater hydra). RNAcentral's name for it is "microRNA hma-mir-3009 precursor". Lineage: Eukaryota; Metazoa; Cnidaria; Hydrozoa; Anthoathecata; Hydridae. The record is from miRBase by way of RNAcentral.